GCAAAGGCUUUAGGCUAGUUAAUAAACGCUCGGAGAAGUUACAGUCCUCACCUUCCCGCCAUUCGAGCUCAAAUGCUCAAACCGAAACCUUAUGCAUCUCCAGCCUAUCUCCUCUCUCUUCUCAAACAAUCCAAAACCCUAGAAUCUAUCAAGCAAAUCCACACUCAGAUGCUGGUCUCCUCUCUCCAUUGUCAUAACCACCUCCUCUGCAAGCUCGUCGACCUCCAAACAUUCUCCUACUCCUCCAUCCUCUUCUCCCAAAUCCCCUCUCCAAAUGACUUCUCCUUCAACAUUAUGAUCCGCGGCCUCUCAACUUCCUGGAAAAACUACUCCUUGGCCCUCGAAUUCUACCUCCAGUUACUUCACUCUGGCCAAAAGCCGAGCAAGUUCACCUACCCUUUCGUCUUCAUUGCCGCCGCAAACCUACCGUCCCCUUACCAUGGUGUUUCUGCCCACAGCUCCGCUCUCCAGCGCGGUCUUGACUCAGAUCUCAACACCCAACAUUCUUUGAUCACCAUGUAUGCUAGAUGCGGGGAUUUGAAAAGUGCAUGGAAAGUGUUCGAUGAAAUUUCUGAGAGGGAUGUGGUCUCAUGGAAUGCCAUGAUUUCAGGGUGUAUGAAGAUGGGCUUUGCUAUGCAGGCUUUGGAGUUGUUUAGGAGGAUGAGAAGGGAAGGGUUUGAGAUGAAUGGGAUGACAGCGGCGAGCGUGCUGGCGGCGUGCGGCGAGGUGGGGGAUUUGUGCUUGGGGUUGGAGGUGGCGGAAUUAGUGGAAGAGAGUGGAGUGGAGAUGAAUUCAUUUAUUUGGUCUGCAUUGAUUGAUAUGUAUGGGAAGUGUGGCAAUCUUGAUGAAGCUAAACAGGUUUUUGAUAAGAUACUGAAGCCAGAUUUAGCUGUGUGGAAUGCAAUGAUUACAGGGUACUCGCAAAACGGCUUAUCCAAUGAAGCCAUCAAGCUAUUCAACACCAUGAGAGAAGCAAAUGUGGAACCAGACAAGAUGACAUUAGUUGGAGUACUGUCAGCUUGUGGUGCCACUGGUGCACUAGAAUUAGGAAGAUGGGUGGAUGAUUUUGCACAGAGAAGAGGCCUUCACUACAAUGUUUAUGUUGGGACAGCUCUCAUCGACAUGCAUGCGAAAUGUGGGAAUGUUGACCGUGCAGUCAGCAUCUUUACUUCCAUGCCGAGCAGAAAUAUCGUUUCUUGGAAUGCCAUGAUCUCUGGGCUCGCCUUACAUGGGAGAGGUAGAGAGGCCAUUUCGCUCUUCGCCAGAAUGAGGAAUGAGGAGCCAAAUCUUCAGCCAAAUGAUGUAACUUUUAUUGGUGUACUCACUGCCUGUGUACAUGCCGGAAUGGUUCGAGAAGGUCGUGAAUGGUUCGGUUUGAUGAAGUCGAAAUUUGGAGUAGUUCCGAAGAUUGAGCACUACUCUUGCAUGGUGGAUCUUCUAGCUCGUGCUGGAAACUUAGAAGAAGCAUGGGAUGUAAUGGAACAAAUGCCAGAGAUGCCUGAUGCUGUAAUGUUGGGGGCUUUGCUGUGUGCUUGCCGUAGUUUUAGAAAUGUUGAGAUUGGAAAGAGAGUUAUGGGAAGGAUACUCAAAUUAGAACCUUCAAACUCGGGAAAUUAUGUUAUCUCUUCGAAGAUUUUUGCAGGUUCAAAGAGAUGGGAGGAUUCUGCAAGGAUGAGAGGGUUAAUGAGAGAGAGGGGUGUUUCUAAAACACCAGGCUGUAGCUGGAUUGAGGUUGAUGGUGAAGUCCAUGAGUUCCAUGCUGCUGAAGGUUUGAAGGCAGUGUCAGUAGAGAUUCAUCAUAUCAUUGAUAUUUUGAUAGAUGAGAUGAUGAUUCAUGGAUACGCGCCAAACAUUGAUCUUGCAUGAUGAGCUUUUAAGGUUGUUUUGAAGUUACACAGUUUGCAAGGUUUGAUAACUUCGGAUCAGAGAUAAGAACUCGGAUACAAAACAGCCUUGAUGCUGGGAAAUUUAUAAAAGAUUCAAUCAGCAACAGCCAUCACAGAACUGGCUGCUUAUUUUCCGGUUUAAGGAGGUGCUUCACAAGUGGAGUUUUAAACUCCCUUCCUUUAACAGCUUGAAGAAUGCUAUAAAUCACAUCAGCAAGGCGUUAUGUUACUCUAUCCAUCAUUAUUGGCAUGCACGCAGCGCCAUGUUUCUUGGUAAAAGCUACGGGACUGUAACUAUCAUCGCUGCAAUUAUUUUUGAAGUGCUCAUCAUGACUUCAUUUUACGCUUUCCGGGUGCAAUGGGAUACGAGGAUGCUGUGUGAUAUUCAGAAGUUCUACAAUGUGGUGAUUGAGGAGCUUCCGUCGAAUGUGGCUAGGGGUGUAAACGAGCCCAACACGUGCGAGCCUUAGCUCGUGUUUGGCUCGUUUAUAUU
Phalaenopsis equestris is the source of this 2379-nucleotide RNA transcript. It is a transcript of the gene named pentatricopeptide repeat-containing protein At2g34400, with no coding region annotated. The record is from RefSeq and is a predicted model, not a curated record. NCBI's taxonomy places the organism in Eukaryota, Viridiplantae, Streptophyta, Magnoliopsida, Asparagales, Orchidaceae. The transcript has 4 exons.